This 468-nucleotide ribosomal RNA is filed under the name uncultured bacterium. RNAcentral describes it as "partial 16S ribosomal RNA". It matches the Rfam family "Bacterial small subunit ribosomal RNA", at positions 28 to 507 of the family's 1533-position model. The record is from RNAcentral.
GACGAACGCUGGCGGCGUGCUUAACACAUGCAAGUCGAACGGAAAGGCCCUGCUUUUGUGGGGUGCUCGAGUGGCGAACGGGUGAGUAACACGUGAGUAACCUGCCCUUGACUUUGGGAUAACUUCAGGAAACUGGGGCUAAUACCGGAUAGGAGCUCCUGCUGCAUGGUGGGGGUUGGAAAGUUUCGGCGGUUGGGGAUGGACUCGCGGCUUAUCAGCUUGUUGGUGGGGUAGUGGCUUACCAAGGCUUUGACGGGUAGCCGGCCUGAGAGGGUGACCGGCCACAUUGGGACUGAGAUACGGCCCAGACGCCUACGGGAGGCAGCAGUGGGGAGUAUUGCACAAUGGGCGGAAGCCUGAUGCAGCAACGCCGCGUGCGGGAUGACGGCCUUCGGGGUGUAAACCGCUUUCGACUGUGACGAAGCGUGAGUGACGGUAAUGGGUAAAGAAGCACCGGCUAACUACGUG